Molecule: ribosomal RNA, 1464 nt
Filed under: Campylobacter coli
Lineage: Bacteria; Pseudomonadati; Campylobacterota; Epsilonproteobacteria; Campylobacterales; Campylobacteraceae
Description: partial 23S ribosomal RNA
Rfam family: Bacterial large subunit ribosomal RNA
Source: RNAcentral
CGCUUAGGGCUAAGGGGGCUAGCGGAUGGAAGUGCUAGUCUAAGGUCGUAGGAGGUUAUACAGGCAAAUCCGUAUAACAAUACUCCGAGAACUGAAAGGCUUUUUGAAGUCUUCGGAUGGAUAGAAGAACCCCUGAUGCCGUCGAGCCAAGAAAAGUUUCUAAGUUUAGCUAAUGUUGCCCGUACCGUAAACCGACACAGGUGGGUGGGAUGAGUAUUCUAAGGCGCGUGGAAGAACUCUCUUUAAGGAACUCUGCAAAAUAGCACCGUAUCUUCGGUAUAAGGUGUGGUUAGCUUUGUAUUAGGAUUUACUCCGAAAGCAAGGAAACUUACAACAAAGAGUCCCUCCCGACUGUUUACCAAAAACACAGCACUCUGCUAACUCGUAAGAGGAUGUAUAGGGUGUGACGCCUGCCCGGUGCUCGAAGGUUAAUUGAUGGGGUUAGCAUUAGCGAAGCUCUUGAUCGAAGCCCGAGUAAACGGCGGCCGUAACUAUAACGGUCCUAAGGUAGCGAAAUUCCUUGUCGGUUAAAUACCGACCUGCAUGAAUGGCGUAACGAGAUGGGAGCUGUCUCAAAGAGGGAUCCAGUGAAAUUGUAGUGGAGGUGAAAAUUCCUCCUACCCGCGGCAAGACGGAAAGACCCCGUGGACCUUUACUACAGCUUGACACUGCUACUUGGAUAAGAAUGUGCAGGAUAGGUGGGAGGCUUUGAGUAUAUGACGCCAGUUGUAUAUGAGCCAUUGUUGAGAUACCACUCUUUCUUAUUUGGGUAGCUAACCAGCUUGAGUUAUCCUCAAGUGGGACAAUGUCUGGUGGGUAGUUUGACUGGGGCGGUCGCCUCCCAAAUAAUAACGGAGGCUUACAAAGGUUGGCUCAGAACGGUUGGAAAUCGUUCGUAGAGUAUAAAGGUAUAAGCCAGCUUAACUGCAAGACAUACAAGUCAAGCAGAGACGAAAGUCGGUCUUAGUGAUCCGGUGGUUCUGUGUGGAAGGGCCAUCGCUCAAAGGAUAAAAGGUACCCCGGGGAUAACAGGCUGAUCUCCCCCAAGAGCUCACAUCGACGGGGAGGUUUGGCACCUCGAUGUCGGCUCAUCGCAUCCUGGGGCUGGAGCAGGUCCCAAGGGUAUGGCUGUUCGCCAUUUAAAGCGGUACGCGAGCUGGGUUCAGAACGUCGUGAGACAGUUCGGUCCCUAUCUGCCGUGGGCGUAAGAAGAUUGAAGAGAUUUGACCCUAGUACGAGAGGACCGGGUUGAACAAACCACUGGUGUAGCUGUUGUUCUGCCAAGAGCAUCGCAGCGUAGCUAAGUUUGGAAAGGAUAAACGCUGAAAGCAUCUAAGCGUGAAGCCAACUCUAAGAUGAAUCUUCUCUAAGCUCUCUAGAAGACUACUAGUUUGAUAGGCUGGGUGUGUAAUGGAUGAAAGUCCUUUAGCUGACCAGUACUAAUAGAGCGUUUGGCUUAUCUUU